This 402-nucleotide ribosomal RNA is filed under the name uncultured bacterium. Its description in RNAcentral is "bacterial SSU rRNA". It matches the Rfam family "Bacterial small subunit ribosomal RNA", at positions 75 to 463 of the family's 1533-position model. The record is from RNAcentral.
CUUGCGAUUUAGCUAUCUUAGUGGCGAACGGGUGAGUAGCGCGUGGGUAACCUGCCCUUAAGACCGGGACAACAGCUGGAAACGGCUGCUAAUACCGGAUGUAUUGUCCGAGAGGCAUCUCUUGGAGAAGAAAGCUGGCCUCUGAAAAUGCUAGCGCUUAGGGAUGGACCCGCGUCUGAUUAGCUAGUUGGUGGGGUAGCGGCCCACCAAGGCGACGAUCAGUAGCCGGCCUGAGAGGGUAAACGGCCACACUGGGACUGAGACACGGCCCAGACUCCUACGGGAGGCAGCAGUGGGGAAUCUUCCGCAAUGGACGAAAGUCUGACGGAGCAACGCCGCGUGUAUGAAGAAGGCCUUCGGGUUGUAAAAUACUGUUGUUAGGGAAGAACGGCAUCUGUGUAA